Molecule: ribosomal RNA, 465 nt
Filed under: uncultured bacterium
Lineage: Bacteria
Description: partial 16S ribosomal RNA
Rfam family: Bacterial small subunit ribosomal RNA
Source: RNAcentral
GACGAACGCUGGCGGCGUGCUUAACACAUGCAAGUCGAACGGAAAGGCCCCUUUGGGGGUACUCGAGUGGCGAACGGGUGCGUAACACGUGAGUAACCUGCCCUUGACUUCGGGAUAACUUCAGGAAACUGGGGCUAAUACCGGAUAGGAAUCCUUGCUGCAUGGUGGGGGUUGGAAAGCUUCGGCGGUUUUGGAUGGACUCGCGGCUUAUCAGCUUGUUGGUGGGGUAGUGGCUUACCAAGGCUUUGACGGGUAGCCGGCCUGAGAGGGCGACCGGCCACAUUGGGACUGAGAGGCGGCCCAGACUCCUACGGGAGGCAGCAGUGGGGAAUAUUGCACAAUGGGCGGAAGCCUGAUGCAGCAACGCCGCGGGCGGGAUGACGGCCUUCGGGUUGUAGACCGCUUUCAGCAGGGGCGAAGCUUGUGGUGACGGUACCUGCAGAAGAAGCACCGGCUAACUACGUG